UACAUGGGGGUGCAAACGUUGCUCGGAAUUAUUGGGCGUAAAGCGCACGUAGGCGGUUCGUUAAGUCGGAUGUGAAAGCCCUCGGCUCAACUGAGGAAGUGCACCCGAAACUGGCGAGCUUGAGUACGAAAGAGGAUCGCGGAAUUCCCGGUGUAGAGGUGAAAUUCGUAGAUAUCGGGAGGAACACCGGUGGCGAAGGCGGCGAUCUGGGUCGAUACUGACGCUGAGGUGCGAAAGCGUGGGGAGCAAACAGG
This 254-nucleotide ribosomal RNA is filed under the name uncultured bacterium. Its description in RNAcentral is "partial 16S ribosomal RNA". It matches the Rfam family "Bacterial small subunit ribosomal RNA", at positions 524 to 776 of the family's 1533-position model. The record is from RNAcentral.